RNAcentral lists this ribosomal RNA (452 nucleotides) under Hirtitermes sp. A TB-2017. RNAcentral's name for it is "partial 16S ribosomal RNA". It matches the Rfam family "Bacterial large subunit ribosomal RNA", at positions 2048 to 2699 of the family's 2925-position model. The record is from RNAcentral. Lineage: Eukaryota; Metazoa; Arthropoda; Insecta; Blattodea; Termitidae.
AGGUAUUAUUAAUUGAAUUUGAUUUUUGAGUUAAAAUUCUUAAAUGUUUUUAUGGGACGAGAAGACCCUAUAGAGUUUAACAGUUUUCUUAUUUGUUGUUGUUUGUUUAUGUUUGUUAAGUGGGAUGUACUGUUUUGUUGGGGUGAUGAGAGGAAAAUGUUUAACUCCUCUUUGUUUUUGUAUAUUUGUUUAUAUAUUUUUGAUCCAUUUAUUUUGAUUAUAAGAUUAAAUUACCUUAGGGAUAACAGCGUUAUCUUCCUUGAGAGUUCUUAUUGGCGGGAGGGUUUGCGACCUCGAUGUUGGAUUAAGGUUAAUUUUCGGUGCAGGAGCUGGAAUAGGUUAGGUCUGUUCGACCUUUAAAAUCUUACAUGAUCUGAGUUCAGACCGGCGUGAGCCAGGUUGGUUUCUAUCUAUAGAAUUUAUUUAUAUCUUAGUACGAGAGGACCGGGUAU